CGGUUGAUCCUGCCGGACCCUACUGCUAUCGGGGUGGGACUAAAACAUGCGAGUCGUGCGUCUCCUAGCUAUGGUGGAGACGCGGCGAACGGCUCAGUAACACGUGGCUAACCUACCCUCGAGACGGGGAUAACCCCGGGAAACUGGGGCUAAUACCCGAUAGGCGAGAGAUCCUGGAAUGGGCUCUCACCUAAAAGGCAUCGGAACCAUGCUUCCGGUGUCGCUCGAGGAUGGGGCCGCGCCCGAUCAGGUUGUUGGUGAGGUAACGGCUCACCAAGCCUAUAACCGGUACGGGCCGUGAGAGCGGGAGCCCGGAGAUGGGCACUGAGACAAGGGCCCAGGCCCUACGGGGCGCAGCAGUUGCGAAAACUCCGCAAUGCGCGAAAGCGUGACGGGGCUACCCCGAGUGCCGUCCGCUGAGGAUGGCUUUUCUCCGGUGUAAUGAGCCGGAGGAAUAAGGAGAGGGCAAGACUGGUGUCAGCCGCCGCGGUAAUACCAGCUCUCCGAGUGGUAGGGACGAUUAUUGGGCUUAAAGCGUCCGUAGCCGGUCAGGUAAGUGUCCCGUUAAAUCCAACGACCUAAUCGUUGGACUGCGGGAUAUACUGCCUGACUAGGGGACGGGAGAGGUCGACGGUAUUCCUGGGGUAGGGGUGAAAU
RNAcentral lists this ribosomal RNA (657 nucleotides) under uncultured archaeon. Its description in RNAcentral is "bacterial SSU rRNA". It matches the Rfam family "Archaeal small subunit ribosomal RNA", at positions 5 to 638 of the family's 1478-position model. The record is from RNAcentral.